This 820-nucleotide ribosomal RNA is filed under the name uncultured Anaerovibrio sp. Its description in RNAcentral is "bacterial SSU rRNA". It matches the Rfam family "Bacterial small subunit ribosomal RNA", at positions 36 to 842 of the family's 1533-position model. The record is from RNAcentral. Lineage: Bacteria; Bacillati; Bacillota; Negativicutes; Selenomonadales; Selenomonadaceae.
CUGGGGGCGUGCUUACCAUGCAAGUCGAACGGAGAUUCAGCAAUGGAUCUUAGUGGCGAACGGGUGAGUAACGCGUAGGCAAUCUGCCUUCUAGAUGGGGACAACAUCCCGAAAGGGGUGCUAAUACCGAAUGUUGUAGUUGGUUCGCAUGGACUAGCUACUAAAGGUGGCCUCUGAAUAUGCUACCGCUAGAAGAUGAGCCUGCGUCUGAUUAGCUAGUUGGAGGGGUAACGGCCCACCAAGGCUUCGAUCAGUAGCCGGUCUGAGAGGAUGAACGGCCACACUGGGACUGAGACACGGCCCAGACUCCUACGGGAGGCAGCAGUGGGGAAUCUUCCGCAAUGGACGAAAGUCUGACGGAGCAACGCCGCGUGAGUGAAGAAGGUUUUCGGAUCGUAAAGCUCUUUCGUUAGGGACGAACGUGCUCUUUGUGAAUAAUGAGGAGUAAUGACGGUACCUAAAUAAGAAGCCACGGCUAACUACGUGCCAGCAGCCGCGGUAAUACGUAGGUGGCAAGCGUUGUCCGGAAUUAUUGGGCGUAAAGCGCGCGCAGGCGGGAUAUCAAGUCUGUCUUAAAAGUGCGAGGCUCAACCUCGUGAGGGGACGGAAACUGGUAUUCUUGAGUGUCGGAGAGGAAAGUGGAAUUCCAAGUGUAGCGGUGAAUGCGUAGAGAUUUGGAAGAACACCAGUGGCGAAGGCGACUUUCUGGACGAUGUCUGACGCUGAGGCGCGAAAGCUAGGGGAGCGAACGGGAUUAGAUACCCCGGUAGUCCUAGCCGUAAACGAUGGGUACUAGGUGUAGGGGGUAUCGACCCCUCCU